UAUUGGUUUUAAUUUUUUUCUGAAUUUCAAUUAGAAUUAGCAAUUAUAUAUGAUACUUGCUAAUACAUUGCCUAAAGUAAUUAUUUACAAUAGCAUUGUCUCCUUGAAAUAUAUAUUGUAGGAAUAUUUAAUAAUUUCAUAACAUAUUAGAUCGAAAUUUCGAGAAAUAAAAAUUGGAAGUGCCGAGUAAAGUAUCGCGCAUUUUAGUGCGGGAGUGUCGAAUAAAAUAUCGCGCGUUUUAGUGCGAGAGUGUCGUUUAAAAUGUCGUGCGUUUCAACUUUUGACCAUCCUGACCAGGCUGAGAGGAGGAGCAGGGUCAGGGGGCAUCGGGCAUCGUCGAAGUAACUCUAGAAUUAAUUCAAGCGCUCCUGGGACAAUACGACGGAGCCCAGUGGGACCGUACGUGGGGACAGGU
Nylanderia fulva is the source of this 415-nucleotide non-coding RNA. Lineage: Eukaryota; Metazoa; Arthropoda; Insecta; Hymenoptera; Formicidae. The record is from RefSeq and is a predicted model, not a curated record.